Molecule: unclassified non-coding RNA, 104 nt
Filed under: Chryseobacterium takakiae
Lineage: Bacteria; Pseudomonadati; Bacteroidota; Flavobacteriia; Flavobacteriales; Weeksellaceae
Description: Flavo-1 RNA
Source: RNAcentral
GAAUAGCCCUGAUCGAGCGGCAUGUUUGAGCUCUUUUCGUGUUUCGGCGGCGGCAAAGCCGCCGCCGAAACACGAAAAAGCGAGUAGCGAGAGCAGGUUCCCGG